UACGUAGGUGGCAAGCGUUGUCCGGAUUUAUUGGGCGUAGAGCGCUCGCAGGCGGUCUUUUAAGUCUGAUGUGAAAUCUUGCGGCUUAACCGUAAGCGGUCAUUGGAAACUGGGGAACUGGAGUGUAGGAGAGGAAAGUGGAAUUCCACGUGUAGCGGUGAAAUGCGUAGAGAUGUGGAGGAACACCUGUGGCGAAGGCGGCUUUCUGGGCCCUACCUGACGCUGAGACGCGAAAGCGUGGGGAGCGAACCGG
RNAcentral lists this ribosomal RNA (253 nucleotides) under uncultured bacterium. RNAcentral's name for it is "partial 16S ribosomal RNA". It matches the Rfam family "Bacterial small subunit ribosomal RNA", at positions 524 to 776 of the family's 1533-position model. The record is from RNAcentral.